AACGAACGCUGGCGGCAUGCCUAACACAUGCAAGUCGAACGAGACCUUCGGGUCUAGUGGCGCACGGGUGCGUAACGCGUGGGAACCUGCCCUUAGGUUCGGAAUAACUCCCCGAAAGGGGUGCUAAUACCGGAUAAUGUCUUCGGACCAAAGAUUUAUCGCCUUUGGAUGGGCCCGCGUUGGAUUAGCUAGUUGGUAGGGUAAAAGCCUACCAAGGCGACGAUCCAGAGCUGGUCUGAGAGGAGGAUCAGCCACACUGGGACAGGGACAAGGCCCAGACUCCAGCGAGAAGCAGCAAUGAGGAAAAUUGGGCAGUGAGCGAAAGCCAGAACCGGCGAGUCCGCGAGGGUGAUGAAGGGCUUGGAUUCGUAAAGCUCUUUUGCCCGAGAGUGUAAUGACGGAACCGGUAGAAUAAGCUCCGGCUAACACCGU
This 432-nucleotide ribosomal RNA is filed under the name uncultured bacterium. RNAcentral's name for it is "partial 16S ribosomal RNA". It matches the Rfam family "Bacterial small subunit ribosomal RNA", at positions 29 to 506 of the family's 1533-position model. The record is from RNAcentral.